UUAUAGAAAACCACAGUCUUUUUCAAGAAGGGAUGCGGUUACAAAACGCAGCCUUCUUACAGUAAGAAGGGCUGCGUUUUUGGGCCAAUCGCAGCCCUAUUGGGCCUUAAAUUCUUUAUUAUUCUAUUUUCCCUGGCCCCUAAACUCCCUCCAAUUCUUUCAUUCCCUCGCUGCUGAAACACCCCUCUCUCUCUCUCUUCUCCCAUUUCAUCUCCUCUUCUUCUUCUCCUCAACUCAGGCCUAAAAUUUCACAAAAAAAACCAACUCAACUCAGCCCUAAUGGCCUAAGCUUCGAACUGACAUCGAUGUUCAAACUCUUUAUCUCUACUCAUUCAUCUUCUUCUUCUUCUUCGAUGUUCGACAUUUAAAAGAGGUCAUUAAAUGUGCAAUUUUUUGGCGACCCUGAUGUAAUUUUGAAGGUUCCUGGUACAACAGAAAUCAAUUACCUGAGUGAUUGGACAAGUAGUGAGAAUUUGCAACUUUUGAAUCUAAUGUGAGUUUUGAAGAUUAUUAAACAUUAUUCCAAAAUGCUCGCACAUAUGGUUUAUGUCAUAACUCUUAAAAUGCUAUAUUCUGCUUCCUUCAACAGUUGCGAUAUAACUCCUUCAAAUUAUAUUUCUAUGAUUAUUACAGACUAUGGCAUGGUGAGUUUUCUACCUUGCAUUUUUCCUGAAAGCCUCGUUGUGUAGGAAUAUCUGUCUGCCUGUAAUGCAACAUGCUCGAUUCUAUAGACUAUCAGCCUUUCAUAAAUAGAGAAGACACUUGUUUAUCAUCUGAAAUGUAGAAUUUUAUUAUUAUCUCAUUGAAUCUAGCUUGCUAUUUUUAUUUGAGACAGUGACAUGCUUCAUGAAGUUAGAAGUUAAAAGAAUUCUCCUCCCGUUGUCCCAUAAAGUUAGUAAAUACAAUAUCGAACACAAUUUUGAUCAGCUGUUCCAAAAUAUGGUUAAUCGGAAUCAUGCAUUUGAAUUAUGUAUGUAAAGUAAUGAAUGCAUGUUUACUUGUGUUUUCAAAGCAGUUGCCUAAUUUGCUGGACAGAGUAAGAUGUGGAUAAUUUAUUUGUUGCAUAGAAGAUUUUUUGAGCUUCGUUUUUUUGUUAUGAAAUUAUCCAUACUUUAUUUGUACUUAAGAUCUCAUAAACCAAAGUAAUAUUGUAGAUGUAUUAUUAGCCCUCAUCUGUGUUGCUUUCUGAACUUGCAUUGAAAUUGUUACCAAGGGAAAGGCCUUAAAUUCUUACCAAGGGCAUAUCGUAAAGGUGACAAGUUUAUCUGUUGGACUACGUUCACAGAAUUGGAAGAACUGUGAUGGAGGCUUUCAUCAGACAAGUUUCUACUCUCAAGAUUGGAGUGUGGUUGCUAGAAUGCAGGUUCUUGUUUACUUGCUUACAAGAUUUUAUUUUGUAUGUUAGGUGGAAUCUAAAAGACAACUAGAAAGUCUCUAGUUGAAGUUCCUGAUUAGAUAGUUUUUUUAGUUAUAUUUGUAUAAAAAUAUGAUUUGCAAUGGAAAAUGAUACUUAUAUA
RNA transcript from Beta vulgaris subsp. vulgaris (sugar beet), 1517 nucleotides. RefSeq lists it as uncharacterized. The transcript is spliced from 2 exons. NCBI's taxonomy places the organism in Eukaryota, Viridiplantae, Streptophyta, Magnoliopsida, Caryophyllales, Amaranthaceae. The record is from RefSeq and is a predicted model, not a curated record.